This is a long non-coding RNA of Loxodonta africana (African savanna elephant), 6391 nucleotides long. RefSeq lists it as uncharacterized. Lineage: Eukaryota; Metazoa; Chordata; Mammalia; Proboscidea; Elephantidae. The record is from RefSeq and is a predicted model, not a curated record. The transcript is spliced from 5 exons.
UUCACCCUUCAGCCAAAGAUUGAACAGGCCCAUGGAACGAAACAAGACUAAAGGGGUGCACCAGCCCUGGGGCAGGCUCUGGAAGGCAGGAGGGAAUAGGAUAGCUGGUAACAGGGAAUCCAGGGUUGAGAAGAGAGAGCGUUGACAUGUCUUGGGGUUAUUAUCCAAUGUCAUACAGCUUUGUGUACUAACUGUUUGAUGAGAAACUAGUUUGUUCUGUAAACCUUCAUCUAAAGCACAAUUUAAAAAAGAAAGGAAAAAAAAGCUAGAAAUAGAAAUAUCAUAUGAUCUAGCAAUCCCAUUCUUAGGAAUAUACCCUAGAGAAAUAAGUGCUGUCACACGAAUAGACAUAUGCAUACCCAUGUUCAUUGCAGCACUAUUCACAAUAGUAAAAAGCUGGAAACAACCUAAAUGUCCAUCAAUAGAUGAAUGGACAAAGAAAUUAUGGUACAUACACACAAAGGAAUACUAUGCAAUGAUAAAGAACAACGAUGAGUCUGCGAAACAUCUCAUAACAUGGAGGAAUCUGGGGGGUAUUAUGCUGAGUGAAAGAAGUCAGUCACAAAAGGACAAAUAUUGUAUGAGACCACUAUUAUAACCCAAGAAUAGGUUUACACACAGAAAAAAAAAUCUUUGAUGGUUACAAGGGCGGAGAGUGGUGGGGAGGAGAAAUCAUUCAGUAGAUAGUAGACAAGUGUCAACUUCAGUGAAGGGAAGGACAACACACAAUACAGGGAAGACAGCACAGCUAAACUAAAGUAAAAGUAAAGACAUUUCGUAAACACAUCCAAACAUUUUGAAGGACUGAGUAUCUGGGGCUGGGGCCUAGGGACCACAGUCUCAGAGUACAUCUAGGUCAACAGGCAUAACAUCACUUAUAAAGAAAAUGUCCUACAUCCCACUUUGGUGAGUAGUGUCUGGGGUGUUAAAAGCUUGGGAGUGGUCAUCUAACAUACAUCUAUCGGUCCCACCCCAUUGGUAGCAAAGGAGAAUUAAGAAAACCAAAGACAUAAGGGAAAUACUAGCCCAAAGAACUAAAGGACCACAUGAACCAGAGACUCCACCAGUCUGAGACAAGAAUAACUAGAUGGUGCCUGGCUACACCAACCAUGGCCCUGGCAGGGAUCACAACAGAGAGUCCCAGAAAGACCAGAAGAAAAAUGUAGAACAGAACUCAAAUUCAUGUAAAAAGACCAGACUUACUGGUCUGAGACUGGAGGAACUCCUGAAGCUAUGGCCUUUGGACACUCUGUUAAGGCAGAACAGAAACCAUUCCGAAGUCCACUUUUCAGACAAAGAUUAGAUGGCCCUAUAAAACAAACAAUAAUACAUAUGAGAAAAGUGCUUCUUAGUACAUUUGAAUAUUCAAGACCAAAUGGGCAGCUCCUGUCCAAAAGCAGGAUGAGAAGGCAGGAAGGGACAGAACCUGGAUGAAUGGACACAGGGAACCUGGGGUGGAAAGGGGAGCAUGCUAUCACAUUGUGAGGAUUGCAACCAAUGUUACAAAACAAUAUAUGCAUAAAUUUUGAGUGAUAAGUUAACUUGAGCAUAAACUUUUACCUAGAGCACAAUAAAAAAAAACUUUAGAAGAAUUCCAAUGUUAAAAAAAUUAACUAAAUUAACAAAAAGGAUAUUCUAGCAACUCCUCUGCCCCGAGCCAGAAACUAGAAGAAAUAAAAUUAUUCUUAGAGGCUACAACCCCGUUUCUCUGAUAGUCUUCGAAUCACUUAUUUUCCGCUUUGUUUCUUUGCUGUUUCAUGUUAAGUGGCUGAAACUUCACUUCUGUUAUACCUCUGGAAGCUUAGGGAUCUCAGAUGGAGAAAAAUGCUCAUUUUUAACAAAUUAUCUUACAGAAAAAAGUUUAGAUGCUUUUCAUGGCGCAUUCUUGACUCAGCCACUCACUCUAUCAUGUCACAUUUCACUUCCACAUUUAGUGAGAGCCUGUGGGGCCUCCAUGAGUCAGAAUCUACUAAAUAACAACUGGUUUUUGGAGUUUCUGGGUGGUACAAAUGUUUAAUGUACUCAGCUUUUAACUGAAAAGUUGAAGAUCUAGUCCCCCCAGAGGUACCUUGGAAGAAAGGCCUAGCAAUCUACUUGCAAAAAAAUCAGCCAUUGAAAACUCUGUGGAGUACAGUUUUACUCUGACACACAUGAGGUUGCUAUGACUUGAUGUCAGCUGAUAACUGUGUGCUAGUCACCAUGCUAGGCAGCUGUCCCAUGUUAUUUUAUUUAGCUCUCUGAACAGUCUAGACCAAGGAUAGAUAUUCAGGCUCAUUUUGAAGAAAUAAAAUCCAAGACUCAAAGUAGGUCAUAAGAUGAGUAAGGGGUGAGCUGAGAUUUGUCCCAGGUCUUUUGCCUCCAAUCUCAUUGUUUGUCACAUUGUAUACAACUAUCUGGUUAUUGUCACAGCCAGGCAUCAGUUUUAGAAGGGACAUUCUGCGUUCAUUCUGUUCCAAGAGGUGCAUAGGAUGCAUUUAUCCAACCCAGUUUGUCAUGUGGGUAAUAUCCAAGGUGAAAUGAAAUCCCAAAAUGUUUCAGACAUUGUUUUAUUCUCAUUUAGAGAAACAACAUCACCUGCCCAGGUGUAGGGCCCCUAUAUCUUCCUUGGAGUCCACACUUAUUAGGGACACUACCUCUUUUCAAGAAGAUCCCCUUAAUUUCCAAAGAGGCUUAUAAAUAAUAGGUACUAGAUCACCUUGGUAAGAACUGGUAAGGUGAUUGUGUAUGAGAAAGAGAACAAUUUGAUCUCAUAAGAAGAAAGAAUGCAUCUAAAUUUAUGUGUCUGAUUUGCGGUAAAUGUGGUCAAAUGUUGGGGAGGGGGAGAAUAUGUGUAACAGCAAAUGAGUAACGAUGAAAAGUACAUCGUAAUUUCUCAGGAUUAUACAUAUACUUUUUUUUUUUAUUGUGCUUUAGGUGAAAGUUUACAGAGAAAAGUAUUUUCUCAUUAAACUAUUAAUACACGAAUUGCUUUGUGACAUUGGUUGCCAACCCCACAAUGUAUCAAUACUCUCAACUUCUCGAUCUCGGGUUCCCCGUUUCCAUUCGUCCAGUUUUCCUGUCCCUUUCUGCCUUCUCACCUUUGCUUUUGGGCUUGUGUGUCCAUUUAGUCUAGUAAACAUGCUUGAACUAUGAGGGUUAUUGUUUGUUUUAUAGGCCUGUCUAAUCUUUGGCUGAAGGGUGAACUUUGGGAGCGACUUCAGUGCUGAGUUAAAUGGCGUCCGGGAGCCAUAUUCUUGGGGUUUCUCCAGUUUCUGUCAGACUAGUAAGUCUGGUCUUUUUUUUGUGAGUUCGAAUUUUGUUCUACAUUUUUAUCCUUCUUUGCCCAGGACCCUCAGUGAUGGUUAAAGUUGUGUGUCAACUUGGCUGGGCCAUGAUCCUCAGUGGUUUGGUAGUUAGGAUGUAGUCUGCAGGUUUUAAUGAUGUAAUCACCUCCAUAAUGAGAUCUGAUAUACUGUGAUCAUCUCCAUGAUGAGAUCUGUUGUGAGCAACCAGUCAGUUGAAAGGGAGUUUCCUUGGGGGUGUGGCCUGCAUCCAAUGUAGGUGGACAAUGUAAGCUCCCUGGCUUUUGUUCUCUCUGGAUCCUGCAGCUGGCUCCUGUUUGUCUGACCUCCGGUUCUUGGGCCCUGAGGUAGCAACUUACCUGCUGUCUUGGGAUUCAUCAGCCUCCACAGCCUUGAGCCAGCGGCCUCCUCUCUGACCUUCUGAUCUUGGAUUCACCAGCACCAGUGGCUAUAAGCCUGCAGUUCAGAAGGCUGCCAGCCACACCAGAAAGCUUUUCCCAAGAAGACCUGAGCUGGGCAGUGCAGCUGCCCAGCGGGAGGAGUGUGGUCUUUUGGAUCAGAAGAUAAGACUCGGGUGAGGCCAACAAUGUACAAAGCAGAGGAAUUCAUAAAGGUACCUCUCCACCCCCGCCACCCCCCCAGUAAGCAUUAUGUUUCGUAGUAUUAAAUGUCAUAACAGGGCCACUAGAUAGGGUUUUGGAGGGCAGCCAGCAUACCUGGAUUUCAAUCCUGGCUCUACCACUUAGAAUGGUGGGCUAAUUACUGCAAGUCUCUGAGGGUCAAGUUCUUUUUUAUGUAAAAUAGGGCUCAGGGCAUCCCCAAUAGCCACUUUAGUCCAUUGUUUAGGACACUGUGUAGUUUGAGUGCCUUCCAACCUAGGGAGCUCAUCUCCCAGCACUAUAAUGGACAAUAUUUUGUUGUAAUCCAUAAGGUUUUCACUGGCUAAUUUUCAGAAGUAGAUUUCCAGGCUUUACUGAGUGAGAAUUAGGUGAGAUGACUCAGAGCUUGGCACAAAGAAGGGGCCAGCCAAUGUCAGCUGGCUUAAUAUUUCUCUUGAGAACUGGUAUUUGGGCCUAAAGACAGUAAUGUCAUGAGGCUACGUCCCCAAAUGUUGUUGUUGUUAGCUGCCAUUGAGUUGGCUCCCAACUCAUGAGGACCCCACAUACAAGGGAAUGAAAUGCUGCCUAGUUGUGUCCAUUCAAUUAUGGAUUGGAUCACCGUGAUCCAUAGGGUUUCCACUGACUGAUUUUUGGAAGCAGAUUGCCAGACCUUUCUUCCUAGACUGUCUUAGUCUGGAAGUGCUGCUGAAACCUGUUUAGCAUCAUAGCAACAAACAAGCUCCCACUGGCAGACCAGUGGUGGCUGUGCCUGAGGUGCUUUGGCUGGGAAUCGAAUUCAGGUCUCCUACAUAGAAGGCAAGAAUUCUACCACUGACCCACCAAUGUCCCUAUAAGUUCCCAAAUAAGCCUUUUAAUUAAUGGAACCUCUCCUGUCCUUCUCAGAAAUGUCUGUGAUAUGCCUCAGUGCUGCUGAGAGUAGGAUGAGUCAAUAUAAACCCCUUACCACUAUUGGGAAAAAAGCUCCAACCUCAUGCUGUACUGAGAACUGCUCAAUGAUAUUAUUCCAAAUGUGACACCGAUUUGGUAUCAGAGUGGUGCCAUCUCUCCAUUGGCAAUUCUUGGAAAGUGCAGGAUGGCCGAGGAUAAGGGAAAAUCUCAGAUAUCAGCAUGAUCACUUUGCAGCUUCACUACCUUCUUUGAGGCUUUCCUGGCCUUUAGGAUUCCCUCAUUUCCCCCCUCAUCUUUAAAUAUGUAAGUGUUGUUUCUAGUUAUCUAAUGUUUAUUAUUUUUCCUACCCCAUCCAUUAAUUCCAUCACCAUCCUGGCUUCCGAAAUUUUUAGGAAGCUUUUCGAACCAUUCUGGUCGAUGGGUUCAAUGAUCACUGUCUUCCUACCAGCAAAAUACAAUGAUUUUCCAGAAUUGUGAAUCUGUGCAUGAAAUGCUCCUUGCAGUCUCAAACGGAAAUCUUCACCAUUGAGGACAUUGAAGCUCAUCUAGUUAAAAAGCAUAUUUAAACACUACGAUAUGCCAUAUAAUGGCAUUGGGAAAGAAGCCAAAGAAGUGGAGCCCACAGAAAUAUUUUAGAAGACAGUGCCUGAACACAAAUACCUUCCUUUCCAUUCUUACUGCUGUCACUUGAGCUGCAGCCAGGGCCUUGAACUGUGUUUUCUGGAAGAAUUUUCAUCAGUGCAACACUAAAUCUCAACCUAUUCUCAAACAACACUAAAGGAAAGCCACAAGGGAGAUCUCCUUGCAGAAGGAAAGUGAUGCUAAAUGACAGCAUAAAAUUGUAGGAAAGAAUAAUGAAUAAAGGAAAGGUACAAAUAAAUUGAUUAAAAAAUACUGAUUUAUAUUAUACCUUAAUAAAUCCAGCAUGUGGAAUCUCUGGCCUCUGAAAGAAUGUCAAAAGAUUGUGUGACUGCCAAGACGUGAAAAAAUGAAAUAGCAAAACUUACGUGAUUAACUCAAAAGAAAGUAAGAAGAAGAAGAUAAGAAACAGCACAGAUGUGACAAAUAGGAAAAAAAAAUAGUAUGAUGGUAGAUUUAAAUCCAAAUAUUUCAGCAAUUAUAUUAAACAUAAACAAUUUUUAAAAUUUAUAUUGUCAGGCUGUAUUAAAAACUACACAGCAGUGGCUGGCUAGUGGAUUAAAAACUACAAGACCCAGCAAUACAAUGCUUGUAAGAGAGCCAAAAAACCAAACCCAGUGCCGUCGAGUUGAUUCCGACUCACAGUGACCUUGUAGGACAGAGCAGAACUGCCCCAUAGAGUUUCCAAGGAGUAUCUGGCAGAUUUGAACUGCCAACCUCUUGGUUAGCAGCUGUAGCACUUAGCCACUACACCACCAGGGUUUCCGCUUGUAAGAGAAACAUCUUAAAUACAAGGGUACAGAUAGAAUAAGCAUAAAAAAAGAAGAUAAGCAUACAAACACAAACCAAAAGAAAGCUGAUACAGCUAGACUAAUAGCAGACAAAGUAAACGGUAAGGUAAGAAGUAACCCUUUACAAUGGAAAGAGGGUCAAUCCACUAGGAAGAUAAAAUAGUCUUAUAUU